AUGCACCAUACAAAAGGCAACAAAAAGGGAGCAAAGAAGAAAAUGGUUGAUUCAUUUUUUAAGAAAGAUUGGUUUGAUGUAAAAAAGCACCGACUAUGUUCAAUACAAGAAAUACUGGAAAGACACUAGUUACCAGGACUCAAGGAACCAAAUUGCAUCUGAUAGCUUCAAGAGUCAUGUGUUUGAAGUGUAUCUUGCUGAUUUGCAGAAUGAUGAAGUUGCAGUUAGAAAACUCAACCUGA
Molecule: long non-coding RNA, 242 nt
Filed under: Homo sapiens (human)
Lineage: Eukaryota; Metazoa; Chordata; Mammalia; Primates; Hominidae
Description: non-protein coding lnc-SAMHD1-2:1
Source: RNAcentral